This 463-nucleotide ribosomal RNA is filed under the name uncultured bacterium. RNAcentral describes it as "partial 16S ribosomal RNA". It matches the Rfam family "Bacterial small subunit ribosomal RNA", at positions 28 to 507 of the family's 1533-position model. The record is from RNAcentral.
GACGAACGCUGGCGGCGUGCUUAACACAUGCAAGUCGAGCGGAAAGGCCACUUCGGUGGUACUCGAGCGGCGAACGGGUGAGUAACACGUGAGUAAUCUGCCCCUCACUUUGGGAUAGCCACCGGAAACGGUGAUUAAUACCGGAUAUGACCAUAUGUCGCAUGGCGUGUGGUGGAAAGUUUUUCGGUGAGGGAUGUGCUCGCGGCCUAUCAGCUUGAUGGUGAGGUAAUGGCUCACCAUGGCUUCGACGGGUAGCCGGCCUGAGAGGGUGACCGGUCACACUGGGACUGAGACACGGCCCAGACUCCUACGGGAGGCAGCAGUGGGGAAUAUUGGACAAUGGGCGGAAGCCUGAUCCAGCAACGCCGCGUGAGGGAUGACGGCCUUCGGGUUGUAAACCUCUUUCAGUACCGACGAAGCGCAAGUGACGGUAGGUACAGAAGAAGCAUCGGCCAACUACGUG